RNAcentral lists this long non-coding RNA (1079 nucleotides) under Macaca nemestrina (pig-tailed macaque). RNAcentral's name for it is "lncRNA (ENSMNEG00000045645.1)". The record is from RNAcentral. Lineage: Eukaryota; Metazoa; Chordata; Mammalia; Primates; Cercopithecidae.
CAGAGAUCAAAGGACCAGGAGCCCAGGCACAGAACAGAGAUCUCACCACUGAUUGCCACCAGAGCCAUCCAUGAGCUCCUGCUGGAACCCAGUCGGCGGAUGGAGGUGCAGUCCUUCUUCUCCUCCUUGUUCAUGGCCUUGCUGUUCCAGAUCUCCUUUUUGGUGGUUGAAGUGGACACUGAAAUAAGCCAGGAUCAGCAACACAUAGCUGAAUGUGUGGACCCUAUAAGUUCUACCGUGGAGGCCCUGAAGACCUUGAUGCGAAGUUCUGGGUAUGGGGACUAUGUGUCUUCUAUACAGAGACAUGGGGGCUGGUGGCUUCUUGUCAAUCCUGAAAGACACUAUGACGGAGUCACUGUGCUGGCCAGGUGAGCUGCACCUGGGUCCGCGGCUGGAGGGCCAUGCGUUCCCUUGGCCUGCUCCUGCGGCCCAGGCCUUACCUGAACACUGUGCUCUUGUUGGUAGGUCCCUGGUCAUCCAUAACUGUUGGCACAACCGCCCCCUCUUCAGCUCCAUCAUCAGAUUCCUCCAGGACCCAGACUGCAAGAAUCACUUAACGGCCCUUGUGUUCCUGACAGAGCUGCUCCAGUGCCCAGAUGUGGCAGCCUUAGUGGAUGACUUCACCACCCGCAUUCUGGCAAACUGGUUCAAGAGUGAGGAGCCAGCCAUAGUGAAGCCAUUGCUGCAGAUGCUAGAGGUCUUUGCGAAGCAUGAAAACAUGGUAAAAUGGGGCAAGGGCUAAGGGUGUGCUCUCAGGCGAUGUUGUAACCAGGGGAGGUAACAUCUGCUGUGUCCAGUUAUAGAUAGGGUGGGACACACUCUUGGGAUCAAAGAGAGCAAAUCCUCAUGAGGCCAAUGCACCACAGACAGGAGUUGGGGCUUGAGCCAUUCAUGAUUUCUCCCUCUGGGAAAGGUCUCCUGAAGAAGUUUUUUCAUACCACUCUGCCAUCACUGAGGCCUCUUAGGCACAUCUGAGUCCGGCUGGGCAAGCGAUUGAAUGGGGAUAUUUGUGUGGAGAGUCCCACCGGUGAACUCAGCCGUGGUAUUCCUGACAGAGCCAGCUCUGAUUUAGAACAGGG